Paramormyrops kingsleyae is the source of this 728-nucleotide non-coding RNA. The record is from RefSeq and is a predicted model, not a curated record. NCBI's taxonomy places the organism in Eukaryota, Metazoa, Chordata, Actinopteri, Osteoglossiformes, Mormyridae.
UCAUACAUUUGAAACAUAUCAGACUGUCAAAUUAAAUAUUUUCCAUAAAUGCACAAGCACUUGACAUUUUAACAGGUUUAAUUUUGUAGUAUUGCACAAGUCUAUAAUGGUAUAUUAGUGAUAAACCAACCAAUACUUUAUAAAUGGAAGCAGCCCCAUGGCUGCAGCAGGGAAGCGGAGCAGCAGAAGAAAUUUAAAGCCUAAAGAAGAUGCAGCUCACCAUGCAUCCACAUGCACUGAUAAAUGUGGAUUUGAGAUAAGAUAUAUCAGUCCAUAUAAAGGCCGUGGAGUAUUUAGUUGUGGACAUUAUGCAAAAGGAGAUUUUCUCUUGGAAUACAGAGGAGAACUUAUUCCUAAAGAAGAAAUGGAAAGAAGACAACGGGUUUACCAUGAUUUUUUAAAGGUUUUUAUGUUUGAGUUCAAGUUUCAUGGGAAGUGGUGGUGUUAAGUGUUGAAAUAUUGUUGAUGCAGCAAGAGAAGAUGGAUCCCUUGGCAGGCUUGUCAAUGACGACCACAUCGACCCAAAUACCAGAAUGAAGAGCAUAUCUGUGACUGGAAAGCCACAUUUGUGUUUGUUCGCAACUAAAGACAUCACUCCAGGAGAGGAGAUUACGUACAACUAUGGUGAUUCAGAGUAGCCCUGGAGACACAAGGAUGUUGUAGUCCAGGCACCUGCACUUCAGCCUAGUGUUGGUGGGGAACAGCCUGACAAUGUUAAUAAGGUAUGU